UGGAGCAUGUGGUUUAAUUCGACGCAACGCGAAGAACCUUACCUGGGCUUGACAUCCCGAUCGUACCUGCUGGAAACAGCGGGGUCAGUUCGGCUGGAUCGGAGACAGGUGCUGCAUGGCUGUCGUCAGCUCGUGUCGUGAGAUGUUGGGUUAAGUCCCGCAACGAGCGCAACCCUUGUCCUUAGUUGCCAUCAUUUAGUUGGGCACUCUAAGGAGACUGCCGGUGUUAAACCGGAGGAAGGUGGGAUGACGUCAAGUCCUCAUGGCCCUUAUGUCCAGGGCUACACACGUGCUACAAUGGGUGGUACAAAGAGAAGCCAACUCGCGAGAGCGCGCCAAUCUCAAAAAGCCAUCCUCAGUUCGGAUUGGAGUCUGCAACUCGACUCCAUGAAGUUGGAAUCGCUAGUAAUCGCGGAUCAGCAUGCCGCGGUCGAAUACGUUCCCGGGCCUU
This 451-nucleotide ribosomal RNA is filed under the name uncultured Desulfuromonas sp. Its description in RNAcentral is "bacterial SSU rRNA". It matches the Rfam family "Bacterial small subunit ribosomal RNA", at positions 933 to 1382 of the family's 1533-position model. The record is from RNAcentral. Lineage: Bacteria; Pseudomonadati; Thermodesulfobacteriota; Desulfuromonadia; Desulfuromonadales; Desulfuromonadaceae.